CAACAUUAACUUUCUCUCUGAUUUUGACCAACAGGAAAAGAAAAAGGGAAAUGGAGCAGGAGGACAGCUCAUACAUCAAAAAGUCACCAAAUGCCUUCAUGAUGUUUAUGAGAAUGUACAGAAAAAAUGUACCAGCUGAAGUUGCAGAGAUAGGGAGCGCAGAGAUGAACGCUUUCCUCGGCCAGUGGGUAAGUGUGUCAGGACAUGGUUCACUCGGGUUUAAAUAAAUCAAAGAUUUUUACUUUAUCUUUUCACUGUAACUGUUAAUGUUGCUUUUUAUUUACUGUCUCAUGUAAAGAACUUUUAAAGGUAUGAAAGUUUGCAUAAAGGAAAUGUCGUACACUCACUAAUGAGUACCUGGUGUGCACCAGGUGUUGUUCAUGCGCCAGUGGAUGAUCCAGUUUGGAAAUGAGUGUGUUUCUGACAAUAUGUUUUGUAUGUUCACAGUGGAAGAAGCUUACAGAGGAACAGCGAGGGGACUUUAAAGAAAUGGCCAGAGUGGAAAAGGAAGAACACAGUCGGCUGUACCCUGGUUGAUCAGCCAUCAGCAACUUUGUAAGUACACAAUCUAUGCACAGCAGCAUCACAAAUGUUGUGAUGUGAGAUUUCAAAAGCAGCUUUAUACUACUGACACUGCAUAGUCUGGUGUUACCAGGUCAGAAAAGUAACAAUGUUAUGUUGUUUUUCAGGGCAAGAAAACGUAAAGGAUGAGGAAAAGCUCACCAGCUGCAACUGAACCAUUUAACCAGUACCCAUACCAGCAGCAAAAAAUAUAUUAAAAAAUCAAAUAAAG
Molecule: non-coding RNA, 793 nt
Organism: Xyrichtys novacula (pearly razorfish)
Lineage: Eukaryota; Metazoa; Chordata; Actinopteri; Labriformes; Labridae
Source: the annotation of a GenBank genome assembly